AUUGAACGCUGGCGGCAGGCCUAACACAUGCAAGUCGAACGGUAACAGGAAGCAGCUUGCUGCUUUGCUGACGAGUGGCGGACGGGUGAGUAAUGUCUGGGAAACUGCCUGAUGGAGGGGGAUAACUACUGGAAACGGUAGCUAAUACCGCAUAACGUCGCAAGACCAAAGAGGGGGACCUUCGGGCCUCUUGCCAUCGGAUGUGCCCAGAUGGGAUUAGCUAGUAGGUGGGGUAACGGCUCACCUAGGCGACGAUCCCUAGCUGGUCUGAGAGGAUGACCAGCCACACCGGAACUGAGACACGGUCCAGACUCCUACGGGAGGCAGCAGUGGGGAAUAUUGCACAAUGGGCGCAAGCCUGAUGCAGCCAUGCCGCGUGUAUGAAGAAGGCCUUCGGGUUGUAAAGUACUUUCAGCGGGGAGGAAGGGAGUAAAGUUAAUACCUUUGCUCAUUGACGUUACCCGCAGAAGAAGCACCGGCUAACUCCGUG
RNAcentral lists this ribosomal RNA (490 nucleotides) under uncultured bacterium. RNAcentral describes it as "partial 16S ribosomal RNA". It matches the Rfam family "Bacterial small subunit ribosomal RNA", at positions 30 to 507 of the family's 1533-position model. The record is from RNAcentral.